This 483-nucleotide ribosomal RNA is filed under the name uncultured bacterium. RNAcentral describes it as "bacterial SSU rRNA". It matches the Rfam family "Bacterial small subunit ribosomal RNA", at positions 46 to 507 of the family's 1533-position model. The record is from RNAcentral.
GCUUAACACAUGCAAGUCGCACGAGAACGUUCACCUUCGGGUGAAUCAGUAAAGUGGCGCACGGGUGAGUAACGCGUGGAUAAUCUGCCUUCAAGACGGGAAUAACAUUGCGAAAGCGAUGCUAAUACCGGAUAAGCUCACGAUUUGAUUGGUUGUGGGAAAAGAUGGCCUAGUCUAUGCUAUCGCUUGAAGAUGAGUCCGCGUACCAUUAGCUUGUUGGUAGGGUAAUGGCCUACCAAGGCAUCGAUGGUUAGCUGGCCUGAGAGGGCGGCCAGCCACACUGGAACUGAGACACGGUCCAGACUCCUACGGGAGGCAGCAGUGGGGAAUAUUGCGCAAUGGGGGAAACCCUGACGCAGCGACGCCGUGUGAGUGAUGAAGGUUUUCGGAUCGUAAAGCUCUGUCAGGUGGGAAGAAUAAGGGCUGUGAAAAUAUUGCAGUCCGAUGACGGUACCACCAGAGGAAGCACCGGCUAACUCCGUG